Long non-coding RNA from Manduca sexta (tobacco hornworm), 536 nucleotides. RefSeq lists it as uncharacterized. The record is from RefSeq and is a predicted model, not a curated record. The transcript has 3 exons. NCBI's taxonomy places the organism in Eukaryota, Metazoa, Arthropoda, Insecta, Lepidoptera, Sphingidae.
GGUAAGAAAAUUUGAGACCGAAGUCAAAACUUCAAGUUUAAACCUCGCUUCCAAGCAAGAUUAAUAUUAAAAUUAGAGAUUUUAAGGUUUCUGUGUUUCGUGCAUUGACAUAUUAGAUUGGUGCCAAGAAAAUAUUAUCAAGGGGCAGAUUAUAAACAUAAGGUGCAACCUAGAAAGCAAAACUGGAAAGAAUGCAGCUGUUUAUACUGAGACAGAGAUAAAAAAAAAAAAAUGUCUUCACAAACAUCUAAAUUGGUGCUAGGGCUCUCUUGUGUUGCUACUAUUGGUAUUGUAGCCUACGUACACAUAAAACAACAAACAGAUAGAGAAAAAAUGCAUGAAGGUGUAGUCAAGGAUAUAGAACGCCAACAGAGAAGAAAAAUAGAAAACCUGUAUCUCCUUGAAAAACAAAAAGAAUUAACUAAACAGUUGAAAAAAGAAUUGGAAAGCUAGUGAAAAAAAAAAUACUGUGUAGAUAUUAAUUUUUUUUUUAUUGUUACUAUGCUAGUUGACUAAUAAAUAAACUAAAUCCCUAA